GGAUGUGAGGGCGAUCUGGCUGUGACAUCUGGCACCCCAUUGAUCGCCAGGGUUGAUUAGGCUGAUAUGGCUGGCUAGACGGGUGUCCCCCUCCUCCCUCACCGAUCCAUGUGCGUCCCUCCCGAAGCUGCGCGCUUGGUCGAAUAGGACGACCUUUCCCCCAGAGGAGAGGACCGGUCUUUGGUCAAGGGUAUAAGAGUAGCUGCACUCCGCUGCUAGAACCUCCAAACAAGGCAUCUUCUAAUCAUCCUUAAUCCUUCUUUUUCCCUCCUACUCAG
Molecule: non-coding RNA, 278 nt
Organism: Myotis lucifugus (little brown bat)
Lineage: Eukaryota; Metazoa; Chordata; Mammalia; Chiroptera; Vespertilionidae
Source: Rfam